Molecule: ribosomal RNA, 497 nt
Filed under: uncultured bacterium
Lineage: Bacteria
Description: partial 16S ribosomal RNA
Rfam family: Bacterial small subunit ribosomal RNA
Source: RNAcentral
GAUGAACGCUGGCGGCGUGCCUAAUACAUGCAAGUCGAGCGAACGGACGAGAAGCUUGCUUCUCUGAUGUUAGCGGCGGACGGGUGAGUAACACGUGGAUAACCUACCUAUAAGACUGGGAUAACUUCGGGAAACCGGAGCUAAUACCGGAUAAUAUUUUGAACCGCAUGGUUCAAAAGUAAAAGACGGUCUUGCUGUCACUUAUAGAUGGAUCCGCGCUGCAUUAGCUAGUUGGUAAGGUAACGGCUUACCAAGGCAACGAUGCAUAGCCGACCUGAGAGGGUGAUCGGCCACACUGGAACUGAGACACGGUCCAGACUCCUACGGGAGGCAGCAGUAGGGAAUCUUCCGCAAUGGGCGAAAGCCUGACGGAGCAACGCCGCGUGAGUGAUGAAGGUCUUCGGAUCGUAAAACUCUGUUAUUAGGGAAGAACAUAUGUGUAAGUAACUGUGCACAUCUUGACGGUACCUAAUCAGAAAGCCACGGGUAACUACGUG